This is a long non-coding RNA of Anolis carolinensis (green anole), 4692 nucleotides long. RefSeq lists it as uncharacterized. NCBI's taxonomy places the organism in Eukaryota, Metazoa, Chordata, Lepidosauria, Squamata, Anolidae. The record is from RefSeq and is a predicted model, not a curated record. The transcript is spliced from 2 exons.
GGGGGGGGGCUUUGCCUCCCUCCUUCACUCGCCCACCUGCUGUCCCUCGUUCACUCACCCCGCUGGGACCCAGCAGGGUGAGUGAGUGAGUGAGAAAGAGCAGGGGAGGACAUUUGCCUUGAAUAAUAAGGAGUGUCGGGUAAGCGAACUCAGAUAAGCGGGACUCUACUGUAUAUAUUGAAGGGGAGGGGCUUCUACACUGCCAGAUAAUCCAAGUUAUCAAAUCAGAAAAUCCAUAUUAUGUGCUUUGGAGUGGAUUAUCUUAGAGCCCUUCAAGACAGGCCUUAUAUCCCGGGAUCUGAUCCUGGGUUUUCUGUUUAUCCCAGAUUAUCUGGCAAUGGGGACUCAUAAAUCCAGGUUAAAUCAGAAAACCUGGGAUCAGAGCCUAGGAUAUAGGGCCUGUCUGGAAGGGCCCUUAGUUUACACUGCCAUAUAAUCCAGUUCAAAGCAGACAAUGUAGAAUUUAUACAGCUGUGUAGAAGGGGCCAUUGAGAGAUUGUUUCCAAAAGGCAACAAAACCUUAAAUAAUAAAUAAAUAAAUAAAUAAAUAAAUUGAAAAAUAAGUUAUAGGUAGCAGCACAUUGUUGGCUAGGAGUCAAAUAUUAUGUUCAGAUCAAAACGAUCUAAAUGUAUGCAAUCACUUCUGUACAGGGCUUGGAAAAUUGCCUGUAAUAGCAAAAGAAUGCAUAUCAUCAGCAUAGUUUUAAAAAUGCCUAUAAAAUUUGUUCAGAUUGAUUUGUUACCUUUUGGAAACAAGCUCCACAUUUAUAAAACAUGUUCAGUAACAGCUAUUCCUGCUUCAAUAAAAAUGUUUUCACCUGCCAGUGAAGAGAAAGCAGACAGGGGCCUCAUGGCUUCCCACAGAAAAGAGUUCAAUAACUUGUUGGGCAGCCACUGAGAAGGCUCUCUCUUGUGUCCUCAUGUGAUGGUGAAGGGACUGAAAGAAACCUUCCUUUGUAAAUCUUAAUAUUCUGUCAGGUUGUUAUAUGAAUAUGCAUUCUUUCAGAUAGUCUGGACCAAAACCGUCUAGUGCUUUAUAGGUCUACAAUUCUGUAGUUGGGGUGAUGAAAAUGCUAAGUUACACCAUCAUAACUAUUGCCAUCAUCUAUAUGUGCACAUACCAAGAGUGGCAGGGGAAACCCAUAAUUUGGAAAAUCUCAAAAUGGUGCAAAAAUAGCACAUUGUAUCCACAGUAUUUAUGGAAAUCACCUAAGUGUAUGAAUUGGGAACUGUGCUGGCCAUGAUGCCCACAAGCCACACACAAAGCUAGUGCCUGUGAAUACAUGAUAGCAAAGAAAUUCCCCAUUUUGUAGCACAAUCCACAGCAAAAUGGCAAAGCAGCAUACCCGCUCUGUGAACCCAAGAGACAUUGACAGUAUUUACCACACUGCAUCAUUUCUGAGAAAUCCCUCCAAGUGAGGGCUCAGGUCCCCUUUUGUUGAUCCCAAGACAUAUUUCUGACAGAAGGCAUAAAGGAAGAAACAUAGCUAUGUAGGAGAAAAAGCUAAUCUGGAGUACACCCAGUUGCUUUGGCGGAGAUGUUCAAGACCUGCCCAGCAAUAAUAAAGAACCUUUUGACAAGUAGACAAAAAGCCAGGAGGACCUGCAACAAGCACAAACACAUGAGAGCAAUCCAGUGUGCAACAUCAUAGACAUGGGAUGGAGAAUCUUGACCUUAAAUUAUUAUUAUUGAUCACGGUAUUUUGCAAAUGACUCAUUUCCAUUGUGCCUAAACAGAGGUUCAUGUUGCAUUACAAGACUCAAUGACUUUCAUCACCAGUUAGGAAGGGCAUAAGGUUCAUCACAUUAAUUUGAAAUAGGGCAAGAAAUAAAACUGAAACUAUUUACAGAAAUGCUCCAAUUUAAAGUAGUUCUAUUUAUUGCAUGAACUUGUUGAAUGCAUUUUCAUAGAUUCAUAGAAUCAUAGUCCAACCCCCUGCCAAGAAGCAGGAAAAUUGCAUUCAAAGCACCCCCGACAGAUGAACUUCCAGCCUCUGCUUAAAAGCCUCCAAAGAAGGAGCAUCCAGCACACUCUGGGGCAGAGAGUUCCACUGCUGAACAGCUCUCACAGUUAGGAAGUUCUUCCUAAUGUUCAAGUAGAAUCUCCUUUCCUGUAGUUUGAAGCCAUUACUCCGCAUCCCAGUCUCCAGGGCAGCAGUAGACAAGCUUGCUCCCUCCUCCCUAUGACUUCUUCUCACAUAUUUAUACAUGGCCAUCAUGUCUCCUCUCAGCCUUCUCUUCUGUAGGCUAAACAUGCUCUUUAAGUCACUCCUCAUAGGGCUUGUUUUCCAGACCCUUGAUCAUUUUAGUCUCCCUCCUCUGGAUACAUUUCAGCUUGUCAACAUCUCCCUUCGAUUGCAGUGCCCAGAAUUGGACACAGUAUCCUAGCUGUGGUCUUACCAAGGCAGAACAGAGGGGUAGCAUUACUUUCCUGGAUCUAGACACUAUACUCCUAUUUAUCAUUGAACCCCUUGCUUGGGGUCUCCAUUGAAAUUGCCAAAACCCUGAGCAUCUUUUUGUUUACUUGAUUGGAACGCAUUGUUUACCUGACUGGAACCCAAAUGGAAAGGAAUACCCCACUCCAUUCCUUUCCACUUGCAUCCCCCUCUUGGGCAGAUCAAAAACAGAUGCAAACCUUUAAAAUAAUAUGACAUUUUAUAAAAUUUCCCGUAACGACUGGAACCAACCAGCGAUGGCAUCGGAUAGAGACUUGGACAUAUCAGGAGGUGGAUCCUAACCAGAACCAUUUCAGAACAAUUAGAAUCUAGCAUGGUAGUUUUGAAUAGCCGUCAGAAGGCUAUACAUAAAUUUGUAUGCUUGCAAUUGCACCAUGUCCGUUUUUUUGGAGCACUGACUCUGCUGACAUCCUCUUUUGCUAUUGAAAAUAAAGCCUCUGAUCAUUGCCUUCUGCCCGUAUGUGUCGCAUUCGGUCUUUUGGAUCUAGACACACUGGGCCUGAAUCCACAGUCCUUAUAGAAAUUGAAAUUACAUAACAGGUAGAUAUGAGGACGUUGUGUCCCCUCAGUUGACUGGCAAUGUUUGGGAACAAGGAAACUAUCAUCUUACUUCUCUGGCUUCAUUCCCAUAGAAGUUUAUGCAGUGAGGAGCAGAUGUGCUGCCAAUGAACCCAUUUACCUUAAUUAUAUUGCAGAUGCCUUCCCCUCUUUGCAUCUUUAGAGAGAAAAACAUUUUAAGUUUGGGGUAACAUUGUUGCAAUACAAAUCAGUAUCACCAAUGUCAAUGAAGUUUUUCAACAAUUGAAACCAUAUUAAAGGUAUGUCAAUGUGUUGUCGAAGGCUUUCAUGGCCAGAAUCACUGGGUUGUUGUGCACUUUCCAGGAUGUAUGGUCAUGUUCCAGAAGCAUUCUCUCCUGACGUUUCACCCACAUCUAUGUUAGGCAUCCUCAGAGGUUGUGAGGUAUAUUGGAAAACUAAGCAAGGGAGGUUUAUAUAUCUGAGGAAGAUCCAGGGUGGGAGAAAGAACUCUUGUCUGUUUUAGGCCAGUGUAAAUGUUGUAAUUUAUCACCUUGAUUAGCAUUGAAAAGCCUUGCAGCUUCAAUGCCUGGGUGAUUCCUGCCUGGGGGAAUCCUUUGUACUAAGGUGUUAGUUAGAUUCAUGUCUGUAAUUCCUCUGUUUUCAGGGCGUGGUUCUUAAUUUACUAUUUUGAUUUUAGAGGGUUUUUUUAAAAAAAAUUAUAAGUUUUGUGAGCAACUUUGAUACAGUUCUUAUUAUGACAAGAAUGUCUUUUCUGGAUACAAUAAAAGCAAUUGAACAAUAUAACACAGACAAUGUGAAAGAAGGUGUGAGGGGUGUGAUUUUAGAGUUUUUUUUUAAAUACUGGUGUCCAGAUUUUGUUCAUAAUCAUGGUUUCCUCAUUUCUGUUGAAAUUGUCCAUAUGUUUGUGGAUUUCAAUGGCUUCUCUGUGACAUGAUAGUUGUUAGAGUGGUCCAGCAUUUCUGUGUUCUCAAAUAUUAUACUGUGUUCUGGUUGGUUCAUCAAGUGGUCCUCUAUGGCUGACUUCUCUGGUUCAGUCAAUCUGCAGUGCCUUUCAUGUUCCUUGAUUCAUGUUUGGGUGCUCUGUUUCUUUCUCCCACCUUGGAUCUUCCACAGAUAUAUCAACCUCCCUUGCUUAGUUUUCCAAUAUACCUCACAACCUCUGAAGAUGCCUGCCAUAGAUGUGGGUGAAACAUCAAGAGAGAAUGCUUCUGCAACAUGGCCACACAGCCCAGAAAACUCACAUCAACCCAGUGAUUCCGGCCAUGAAAGCCAUCAACAACACAUAGUACUGUGGUUGAUUCUUGUGUCAUUUCCUCUACAGCCUUUUGCUGUGAUUAAUAGUUUGCAGUAUCAAUAUAAAUAACAGUUGAAAGGACUUAAAUAUACUCACAACCUCUGGGGAUGCCUGCCAUAGAUGUGGAUGAAAUGUCAGGAGAGAAUGCUCCUGGAACAUAACCAUACAGCCUGGAAAAUGCACAACAACCCAAGGUAAGAACAAAAGAGCAAGAAGAAACAAUACAGCAACACAACACUGCCAGGCAACUACCCUGAUUCUGCCAGUCCCAUGGAGGAGAUCUUGUUAUCUUCACAUGAGCAGUUCCUAUUGAAUAGUUCUGCUUGACAAGGUACAAAAUUCCAGCUGUGCUGGAACUUGGCCUUCUUCCAAAAACUUGGGCUGAGUUGAUGGUGAACUGGG